CUCCCACGAGCUCCUACCAGGCCAGUGCCAGAAACACUCAUCUACUCCCUUAUGGAAGAUCACUGAGUCAUGAGAUCUGUGGUUUGUCUGAUUCUCCACUUCCCGAAGCCAGCCAAGGCUAACCGACCUGGGAUUCUGAGAGACUGUCCAGAGAAACGAGGAACCAUCGAGCAAAGGGGACAUCUGGAGUGGCAGAGAAACAAGGAACCAUCAAGC
Molecule: long non-coding RNA, 216 nt
Filed under: Homo sapiens (human)
Lineage: Eukaryota; Metazoa; Chordata; Mammalia; Primates; Hominidae
Description: non-protein coding lnc-LGALSL-1:2
Source: RNAcentral